CAGUGAAAAGCCAAACUAGAGGCAUUUAACUGUUAAUUAAAAAAUUGUAAAUACAUUACUUCACUGG
Molecule: transfer RNA, 67 nt
Filed under: Bathyteuthis abyssicola (deepsea squid)
Lineage: Eukaryota; Metazoa; Mollusca; Cephalopoda; Oegopsida; Bathyteuthidae
Description: tRNA-Asn
Source: RNAcentral